Molecule: ribosomal RNA, 484 nt
Filed under: uncultured bacterium
Lineage: Bacteria
Description: partial 16S ribosomal RNA
Rfam family: Bacterial small subunit ribosomal RNA
Source: RNAcentral
AUUGAACGCUGGCGGCAGGCCUAACACAUGCAAGUCGAGCGGAUGAAGGGAGCUUGCUCCUGGAUUCAGCGGCGGACGGGUGAGUAAUGCCUAGAAAUCUGCCUGGUAGUGGGGGAUAACGUCCGGAAACGGGCGCUAAUACCGCAUACGUCCUGAGGGAGAAAGUGGGGGAUCUUCGGACCUCACGCUAUCAGAUGAGCCUAGGUCGGAUUAGCUAGUUGGUGGGGUAAAGGCCUACCAAGGCGACGAUCCGUAACUGGUCCGAGAGGAUGAUCAGUCACACUGGAACUGAGACACGGUCCAGACUCCUACGGGAGGCAGCAGUGGGGAAUAUUGGACAAUGGGCGAAAGCCUGAUCCAGCCAUGCCGCGUGUGUGAAGAAGGUCUUCGGAUUGUAAAGCACUUUAAGUUGGGAGGAAGGGCAGUAAGUUAAUACCUUGCUGUUUUGACGUUACCAACAGAAUAAGCACCGGCUAACUUCGUG